ACACUAUCAAGUAUACAACAUAUUUACAAUUCAGCGUUUCACUAGACGAUAUGUGUUGAUGUUUCUGCUUUUUUAUUGUGUGAUUAAACGAUAGUUGUACUACAACUUUAGACAAGCGGUUACUCAACUAUUGAGUUCAAUAACAUUAUAAGAACCAAGAUAAUGCCACUAGGACCAGACCAUGUCAGAGUAACGAUUCCACGAGACUGAAUUAACACAACUGGG
RNAcentral lists this unclassified non-coding RNA (225 nucleotides) under Athalia rosae (coleseed sawfly). RNAcentral's name for it is "misc RNA ENSAEAG00005009729.1". The record is from RNAcentral. Lineage: Eukaryota; Metazoa; Arthropoda; Insecta; Hymenoptera; Athaliidae.